Non-coding RNA from Artibeus jamaicensis (Jamaican fruit-eating bat), 138 nucleotides. RefSeq annotates it as small Cajal body-specific RNA 3. The transcript has a single exon. The record is from RefSeq and is a predicted model, not a curated record. Lineage: Eukaryota; Metazoa; Chordata; Mammalia; Chiroptera; Phyllostomidae.
CGUGGAACCUGCAGAAACCUCGAUGUGGACAGAUGGAAGCGCCCCUUGUCUGCACGUCGCAGCGGUCCCGCAGGAACACGGAGGACUUGGUCUGGCCCAGCGCAGCUGGCCGAGCCCAGUCGUUCCCCUCCACGAGGC